Molecule: ribosomal RNA, 253 nt
Filed under: uncultured bacterium
Lineage: Bacteria
Description: partial 16S ribosomal RNA
Rfam family: Bacterial small subunit ribosomal RNA
Source: RNAcentral
CACGUAGGGUGCGAGCGUUGUCCGGAAUCAUUGGGCGUAAAGAGCGUGUAGGCGGUCCGGUAAGUCGGCUGUGAAAGUCCAGGGCUCAACCCUGGGAUGCCGGUCGAUACUGCCGGACUAGAGUUCGGAAGAGGCGAGUGGAAUUCCCGGUGUAGCGGUGAAAUGCGCAGAUAUCGGGAGGAACACCUAUGGCGAAGGCAGCUCGCUGGGACGUUACUGACGCUGAGACGCGAAAGCGUGGGGAGCAAACAGG